RNAcentral lists this ribosomal RNA (227 nucleotides) under Laetiporus sulphureus. RNAcentral's name for it is "partial large subunit ribosomal RNA". Lineage: Eukaryota; Fungi; Basidiomycota; Agaricomycetes; Polyporales; Laetiporaceae. The record is from RNAcentral.
UUGGAAAGAGAGUUAAACAGUACGUGAAAUUGCUGAAAGGAAACGCUUGAAGUCAGUCGCGUCGGCCGGGCUCAGCCUUGCAUUCGUUUGCUCGGUUUACUUCCCGGUCGACGGGCCAGCGUCGAUUUUGACCGUCGGAGAAGGGCCAGAGGAAAGUGGCACCUUCGGGUGUGUUAUAGCCUUCGGUCGCAUACGACGGUUGGGAUCGAGGAACGCAGCACGCCUUC